GAUGAACGCUGGCGGCGUGCCUAAUACAUGCAAGUCGAGCGAACAGAUGAGGAGCUUGCUCCUCUGACGUUAGCGGCGGACGGGUGAGUAACACGUGGAUAACCUACCUAUAAGACUGGGAUAACUUCGGGAAACCGGAGCUAAUACCGGAUAAUAUAUUUAACCGCAUGGUUCAAUAGUGAAAGACGGCUUUGCUUUCACAUAUAGAUGGAUCCGCGCUGCAUUAUCUAGUUUGUAAGGUAACGGCUUACCAAGUCAACGAUUCGUAGCCGACCUGAGAGGGGGAUCGGCCACACUGGAACUGAGACACGGUCCAGACUCCUACGGGAGGCAGCAGUAGGGAAUCUUCCGCAAUGGGCGAAAGCUUGACGGAGCAACGCCGCGAGAGUGAUGAAGGUCUUCGGAUCGUAAAACUCUGUUAUUAGGGAAGAACAAAUGUGUAAGUAACUAUGCACGUCUUGACGGUACCUAAUCAGAAAGCCACGGCUAACUACGUG
RNAcentral lists this ribosomal RNA (497 nucleotides) under uncultured bacterium. Its description in RNAcentral is "partial 16S ribosomal RNA". It matches the Rfam family "Bacterial small subunit ribosomal RNA", at positions 28 to 507 of the family's 1533-position model. The record is from RNAcentral.